AACUUCCGUUAAUUGAUUAUGACGUGCUUGCACUGAAUGAGAUUUUAACACGAAGUGAGUGGCGGACGGGUGAGUAACACGUGGGUAACCUGCCCAGAAGCAGGGGAUAACACCUGGAAACAGAUGCUAAUACCGUAUAACAGAGAAAACCGCCUGGUUUUCUUUUAAAAGAUGGCUCUGCUAUCACUUCUGGAUGGACCCGCGGCGCAUUAGCUAGUUGGUGAGGUAACGGCUCACCAAGGCGAUGAUGCGUAGCCGACCUGAGAGGGUAAUCGGCCACAUUGGGACUGAGACACGGCCCAGACUCCUACGGGAGGCAGCAGUAGGGAAUCUUCCACAAUGGACGCAAGUCUGAUGGAGCAACGCCGCGUGAGUGAAGAAGGGUUUCGGCUCGUAAAGCUCUGUUGUUAAAGAAGAACGUGGGUGAGAGUAACUGUUCACCCAGUGACGGUAUUUAACCAGAAAGCCACGGCUAACUACGUGCCAGCAGCCGCGGUAAUACGUAGGUGGCAAGCGUUAUCCGGAUUUAUUGGGCGUAAAGCGAGCGCAGGCGGUCUUUUAAGUCUAAUGUGAAAGCCUUCGGCUCAACCGAAGAAGUGCAUUGGAAACUGGGAGACUUGAGUGCAGAAGAGGACAGUGGAACUCCAUGUGUAGCGGUGAAAUGAGUAGAUAUAUGGAAGAACACCAGUGGCGAAGGCGGCUGUCUGGUCUGUAACUGACGCUGAGGCUCGAAAGCAUGGGUAGCGAACAGGAUUAGAUACCCUGGUAGUCCAUGCCGUAAACGAUGAUUACUAAGUGUUGGAGGGUUUCCGCCCUUCAGUGCUGCAGCUAACGCAUUAAGUAAUCCGCCUGGGGAGUACGACCGCAAGGUUGAAACUCAAAAGAAUUGACGGGGGCCCGCACAAGCGGUGGAGCAUGUGGUUUAAUUCGAAGCUACGCGAAGAACCUUACCAGGUCUUGACAUCUUCUGCCAACCUAAGAGAUUAGGCGUUCCCUUCGGGGACAGAAUGACAGGUGGUGCAUGGUUGUCGUCAGCUCGUGUCGUGAGAUGUUGGGUUAAGUCCCGCAACGAGCGCAACCCUUAUUACUAGUUGCCAGCAUUCAGUUGGGCACUCUAGUGAGACUGCCGGUGACAAACCGGAGGAAGGUGGGGACGACGUCAAAUCAUCAUGCCCCUUAUGACCUGGGCUACACACGUGCUACAAUGGAUGGUACAACGAGUUGCGAAACCGCGAGGUUUAGCUAAUCUCUUAAAACCAUUCUCAGUUCGGACUGUAGGCUGCAACUCGCCUACACGAAGUCGGAAUCGCUAGUAAUCGCGGAUCAGCAUGCCGCGGUGAAUACGUUCCCGGGCCUUGUACACACCGCCCGUCACACCAUGAGAGUUUG
Molecule: ribosomal RNA, 1389 nt
Filed under: Pediococcus acidilactici
Lineage: Bacteria; Bacillati; Bacillota; Bacilli; Lactobacillales; Lactobacillaceae
Description: bacterial SSU rRNA
Rfam family: Bacterial small subunit ribosomal RNA
Source: RNAcentral